Molecule: ribosomal RNA, 310 nt
Filed under: Nesiotinus demersus
Lineage: Eukaryota; Metazoa; Arthropoda; Insecta; Psocodea; Philopteridae
Description: partial small subunit ribosomal RNA
Source: RNAcentral
UGACGGUCUAACACCCGAUCAGAGGGGUAUGUUCGUAAAUGAUACUACACACUAACCUAUCCUAGGUUUGAAUUAUUCAUCUUACACACCGCCGUGCGGAAGAGUUCCCCACAUAAUAAUCUAAUCCUCUAAAUUUUAAAUUAAKAAGUACGACAGGUMAASGCGUAUACUAUGCUUARGAAUGAAUGUAUCUCAGUAGAAAGUUAAAUUUGGAUAAUGCAUUGAAACAAGUAUUUGAAAUUGAAUUUGAAAGKAAAUCUUUUUAGAUUUAAAGAUUGAACAUGGCCCUGUCAGGCGUACACAUCGCCCG